This 460-nucleotide ribosomal RNA is filed under the name uncultured bacterium. RNAcentral describes it as "partial 16S ribosomal RNA". It matches the Rfam family "Bacterial small subunit ribosomal RNA", at positions 338 to 795 of the family's 1533-position model. The record is from RNAcentral.
CCUACGGGGGGCAGCAGUGAGGAAUAUUGGUCAAUGGGCGCGAGCCUGAACCAGCCAAGUAGCGUGAAGGAUGACUGCCCUACGGGUUGUAAACUUCUUUUAUAAAGGAAUAAAGUGAGGCACUUGUUCCUUUAUGUGUGUACUUUAUGAAUAAGGAUCGGCUAACUCCGUGCCAGCAGCCGCGGUAAUACGGAGGAUCCGCGCGUUGUCCGGAUUUAAUGGGUUUAAAGGGAGCGUAGAUGGGUUGUUAAGUCAGUUGGGAAAGUUGGGGGCUCAACCGUAAAAUUGCAAUUGAUACUGGCAGUCUUGAGUGCAGUUGAGGUAGGCGGAAUUCGUGGUGUAGCGGUGAAAUGCUUAGAUAUCACGAAGAACUCCGAUUGCGAAGGCAGCUUACUAAACUGCCACUGACAUUGAUGCUCGAAAGUGUGGGUAUCAAACAGGAUUAGAUACCCGGGUAGUC